This is a long non-coding RNA of Lemur catta (Ring-tailed lemur), 382 nucleotides long. RefSeq lists it as uncharacterized. The record is from RefSeq and is a predicted model, not a curated record. The transcript is spliced from 2 exons. Lineage: Eukaryota; Metazoa; Chordata; Mammalia; Primates; Lemuridae.
CCCUGAUGACACCGGGAGCAGGGAACUGGUAGCUCUGCUGAGCCCUUCUUGCCAGUAGGAGUGGCUCCGCCCCGUCGAGGAGGCCGACCCGCUUUCCUGAGGAGCCUGCAAGGCCUCCCCGGAGCAGGUGUCUUGCGUGGCCCUGCUGGUCCUGCUCGGCGCCCCUGUGGCUUCCAGGCCUAGAGCCGGACUGGAGCGCCGGCAGGGGUCGCGGGGUGCGCCGCGCUCCGCAGGCAGAUCUUAACCCUGAGCGACAUCGGUCACUCACGUGGCCUCAACGUCCAGUCAGGAGCUGAUCAUCUGUAAACAAAGAGAAGCUGUUGGAGAACCUGUACUGCCCUCUGGAUUUUUGUGCCAAUAAAUCCAACCUCCUCCCAAGUUA